GAUGAAGAACGUAGCGAAAUGCGAUAAGUAAUGUGAAUUGCAGAAUUCAGUGAAUCAUCGAAUCUUUGAACGCAUCUUGCGCUCCUUGGUAUUGUGAGGAGCAUGCCUGUUUGAGUGUCAUUAAAUUCUCAACUACACUGACUUUGAAUUGGUGUGGCUUGGAUUUGGGUGGGAAAAUUGUUGUGGGCUUUUUGUAUAGUCUGCUCCCCUGAAAUUGAUUAGCGGUACCUUUGUGGAACUGUCUACAGGUGUGAUAAUUAUCUACAUCCUAGACAUCUGCUGGAAUGCUGCUUUCUAAACCUUACUUGUAUUGACAAUCUUGACCUCAAAUCAGGUAGGACUACCCGCUGAACUUAAGCAUAUCAAUAAGCGGAGGA
RNAcentral lists this unclassified non-coding RNA (377 nucleotides) under soil metagenome. Its description in RNAcentral is "partial contains 5.8S ribosomal RNA, internal transcribed spacer 2, and large subunit ribosomal RNA". The stretch from base 1 to 120 matches the Rfam family "5.8S ribosomal RNA", at positions 35 to 154 of the family's 154-position model. The record is from RNAcentral.